UGGUUAGGUAGAUGAGCAAGCAGUAAAUACUGAUUAGCAUAGCUAGCCAAAACUAGUCUCCUCACAACUGUCCAGAGGACUACAAAGGCACUGAGGUGAUCGGUCUUCUGAGAAAGAAAAGAAAAGCUUAUUUCUGGUUCUAGUAUGAAGAUAAGUCAGAAAAUACCAGGCAAUGGAUCCUGCUCUGUUCAUGGAAGGAAGCAUCGCCAAGGACUGAGUCCUUGUUAAAAGAAUGACACAAGCUGCCUUGUUUUUGAUCCAUGCUCCUGUAAACAAGACACAUUUACAGUGCCAUUAAAAAGAAAUAUUUGCAGGCAUGUGGGAAAUCUUUCACUGACAUGGUCCCAUCUGAAAGGGCAUUGUGUCUGGAUAAUGGAAUUGCUCUGGUUGGAAGAGACCUUUAGGAUCAUCAAGUUCAAGAUCAUCCCAUUACCUCAGGGUGUAAGAAGGGAAGAUGUGCUCUGGACAGUGGCGAAAACCUCAGUUUGUGGAAUUUCCAGAUCCCUUAGUCUAUGUAUGUCCAGCAGUACUCCAGUUUGAUAGCACUUGUGAAAGACAACAUAGAACAAACCGCCUAGAGCUUAUAAGAGAAUGUACAAACACCAGGAGGGACAAAGCCUUGAACACCCAUGUGCUGCAGUGAACCUCAGCCCAUCUGAGCACGCGGUAUCUCCUUCACCCCUUGUCACCGUGCAGAUCUAGUCUUCAGCUGCUGUAGCCCGUCUUAGACCAACCUUCAUGAUGACCAGCAUGACCCUGACUUUAUCCCCACUUGUAUUGCCCUGGUGCGUGUUGAGGUGGGCCAUGUCCUUUAUGAUAUCUUGAAUACCCAGACCUGGAGAAAUUUCCUUAAGAUUCAGUUUCAGGUCUCAUUCAUACUUUAGUGUAGUUCAAAGAAGACUAAAUGUUGCCUGAURUGCUCU
This is a long non-coding RNA of Nothoprocta perdicaria, 923 nucleotides long. RefSeq lists it as uncharacterized. The record is from RefSeq and is a predicted model, not a curated record. NCBI's taxonomy places the organism in Eukaryota, Metazoa, Chordata, Aves, Tinamiformes, Tinamidae. The transcript is spliced from 3 exons.